RNAcentral lists this ribosomal RNA (487 nucleotides) under uncultured bacterium. RNAcentral's name for it is "bacterial SSU rRNA". It matches the Rfam family "Bacterial small subunit ribosomal RNA", at positions 30 to 524 of the family's 1533-position model. The record is from RNAcentral.
AUUGAACGCUGGCGGCAUGCCUAACACAUGCAAGUCGAACGGCAGCACAGCAGUAGCAAUACUGUGGGUGGCGAGUGGCGGACGGGUGAGUAUCACGUGGGUAAUCUUCCUUUAAGUGGGGAAUAAGCUCUCGAAAGGGAGUCUAAUACCGCAUGACAUUCCGGGACACAAGUCCCGUAAUCAAAGCCGCAAGGCGCUUGAAGAUGAGCCUGCGUCCUAUUAGCUAGUUGGUGGGGUAACGGCCUACCAAGGCUCAGAUGGGUAGCCGGCCUGAGAGGUUGAACGGCCACAUUGGGACUGAGACACGGCCCAGACUCCUACGGGAGGCAGCAGUGGGGGAUAUUGCACAAUGGGCGAAAGCCUGAUGCAGCAACGCCGCGUGAGGGAAGACGGUUUUCGGAUUGUAAACCUCUGUCCUUGGUGAAGAACAAAUGACGGUAGCCGAGGAGGAAGCCACGGCUAACUACGUGCCAGCAGCCGCGGUAAU